UGCGUAGGCGGCUAUGUAAGUCAGGAGUGAAAGUUUGCGGCUCAACCGUAAAAUUGCUUUUGAUACUGCAUGGCUAGAAUUAGGAUGAGGUCAGCGGAAUGUGGCAUGUAGCGGUGAAAUGCAUAGAUAUGCCAUAGAACACCAAUUGCGAAGGCAGCUGGCUAGACCUGGAUUGACGCUGAGGCACGAAAGCGUGGGGAGCGAACAGGAUUAGAUACCCUGGUAGUCCACGCCCUAAACGAUGCUUACUCGACGUAUGGCCCUAGAGGUCGUGCGUCCAAGGGAAACCGUUAAGUAAGCCACCUGGGGAGUACGACCGCAAGGUUGAA
This 329-nucleotide ribosomal RNA is filed under the name uncultured Lewinella sp. RNAcentral describes it as "bacterial SSU rRNA". It matches the Rfam family "Bacterial small subunit ribosomal RNA", at positions 568 to 898 of the family's 1533-position model. Lineage: Bacteria; Pseudomonadati; Bacteroidota; Saprospiria; Saprospirales; Lewinellaceae. The record is from RNAcentral.